GUUCCUGUAGUUAAAUUUAUAAUGGCGGUUUUUCAAGCCGCAGACCCCAGAGAGAGGCUGGGCAGGAAUA
This 70-nucleotide transfer RNA is filed under the name Lagonosticta rubricata rubricata. RNAcentral's name for it is "tRNA-Glu". It matches the Rfam family "tRNA". From Rfam's summary of the family: Transfer RNA (tRNA) molecules are approximately 80 nucleotides in length. Their secondary structure includes four short double-helical elements and three loops (D, anti-codon, and T loops). Lineage: Eukaryota; Metazoa; Chordata; Aves; Passeriformes; Estrildidae. The record is from RNAcentral.